GUGAUUCAGUGUUUACAUCUGAAGAGGGGUUCAGAAAUUGGAUAAAAGCAACUUACAAAGAUGGGGGAUUUGUAGGUCAUGCCAAAUCAGAUUCACAUACUAAUGCUAUGUUAGCAUGGGCAGAAUAUGAAAAGUUGACUGCAGGCAAAUGCUCUCUCUCAGCCUCCUUAAGUUCCUCACAGCUAUGCAAAACAUUGCACAGAAAGCACAAAGAAACAGCACAAACAAACUACCCAGUAAACAUACCACUUUGUGGUUAAAGGAAUUCCUGCCUCAGUCUCCAUUCCUCUCACUCACCUGACCCGUGACCACCUGUUCACCUUCACUAUUGUCAGUCAUCCUACCUGUCUAGCUAUCCACACAGAUUCCAAAAAUCUUUCAAUGGUCUUUCAAGUCGGAUGAUGACUGAACCAAAGACAGGUGAAAAGGAAAAGGAGGAGAAGGAAGAAUUGUCUCCACCGGAAGGAAGGAGAGAAGAAGAAGUAGCAGCUGAGGCUAAAGAUGAGGGAAAAGUCCUGGAACCAAUAAAAGAUCCAGGAGCUAAGCCUAAAGCACUGAAGAAGACAUCAUCCUCAAGCACCAGGAGAACUAGGCAACAAACGAGCAGACAACCACCUGGUUAUCUUAAG
This 629-nucleotide long non-coding RNA is filed under the name Salmo salar (Atlantic salmon). RNAcentral's name for it is "lncRNA (ENSSSAG00000097284.1, ENSSSAG00000108101.1, ENSSSAG00020081494.1)". Lineage: Eukaryota; Metazoa; Chordata; Actinopteri; Salmoniformes; Salmonidae. The record is from RNAcentral.